RNAcentral lists this ribosomal RNA (521 nucleotides) under uncultured Actinomycetes bacterium. Its description in RNAcentral is "bacterial SSU rRNA". It matches the Rfam family "Bacterial small subunit ribosomal RNA", at positions 373 to 896 of the family's 1533-position model. The record is from RNAcentral. Lineage: Bacteria; Bacillati; Actinomycetota; Actinomycetes.
GGGCGCAAGCCUGAUGCAGCAACGCCGCGUGGGGGAUGACGGCCUUCGGGUUGUAAACCUCUUUUAGUAAGGAAGAAGGGGAGCUUGCUCCUUGACGGUACUUGCAGAAAAAGGACCGGCUAACUACGUGCCAGCAGCCGCGGUAAUACGUAGGGUCCGAGCGUUGUCCGGAAUUAUUGGGCGUAAAGAGCUCGUAGGCGGUUUGUCGCGUCUGCUGUGAAAUCCCGAGGCUCAACCUCGGGCCUGCAGUGGGUACGGGCAGACUUGAGUGCGGUAGGGGAGAAUGGAAUUCCUGGUGUAGCGGUGGAAUGCGCAGAUAUCAGGAGGAACACCGAUGGCGAAGGCAGUUCUCUGGGCCGUAACUGACGCUGAGGAGCGAAAGCGUGGGGAGCGAACAGGAUUAGAUACCCUGGUAGUCCACGCCGUAAACGUUGGGCGCUAGAUGUGGGGACCUUUCCACGGUUUCCGUGUCGUAGCUAACGCAUUAAGCGCCCCGCCUGGGGAGUACGGCCGCAAGGCUA